This is a long non-coding RNA of Medicago truncatula (barrel medic), 430 nucleotides long. RefSeq lists it as uncharacterized. Lineage: Eukaryota; Viridiplantae; Streptophyta; Magnoliopsida; Fabales; Fabaceae. The record is from RefSeq and is a predicted model, not a curated record. The transcript is spliced from 2 exons.
UUCAUUUCUCUCAUUUUCACAUUGAGAUCAUGUUUUUCUCUUUCAUUUUCUUAGAAAAUAUUGUCGGGGUGUUAUCAAAGCUCCUUAAUAUAAAGGAUUGAGUAAUGGUCAAGGAUCAUCUCGAGAAGCUAUCUGACAAUCAAAUAAAAGGGUAUUGGUUGCACAAAGAAGGUAUUGGUUGCACAAAGGGUAUUGGUUGUAGAAAUUAUCUUAUCAGAUAACUUUGGAGCUAAAUAGAGAUGAUGCAUCUAUCUUCCACAAGAUUUUUUUUUUUUUUGGAUUAAUUGCUAUUGAAAGUAUUGACUACUUUUUUUUUUGUUAUUUAGAGGGCAAAACGAGUAUUCAUUGUUAUUUAUCAAGGAUAUGUAAUUGCUUUUAAUAGCAUCAAAGUAAAUUUUAAUCAAUGACAUAUUGAAUUUUAUGAUGACAA